CAUUCCAAGAUCCCUCACUUCAGGGCGUGGGAGAAAAGGACAGAUAUUCCCUGGGCUUCAGGAAGAACGUGAAGGAAGUUUUCGGAGAUCAAAAGCUGUAUUGGCUGUUACCUGUCUUUACAAGUCCGGGAGAUGGCUGCUCUUUUCCAACUCGCGUUGUUUCAGGGGACCCUGAACAAAACGCUGGCAUAAACCAGAGCGACAUCGCCAAACCUUGAGGCUUUCUCUGCCAGAUCUCCCCGUGAGUCCCAGAACCUCGUGUCGGGAAGUGAGGCUGGAUGAACUAGGACGGAAAGUCCGGGAGAUGGCUGCUCUUUUCCAACUCGCGUUGUUUCAGGGGACCCUGAACAAAACGCUGGCAUAAACCAGAGCGACAUCGCCAAACCUUGAGGCUUUCUCUGCCAGAUCUCCCGGUGAGUCCCAGAACCUCGUGUCGGGAAGUGAGGCUGGAUGAACUAGGACGGAAAGUUAAACAGCGUAUGGAGCCGUCACCAUGUGGGUUUGUGGAUAUCAUGUGCCUAGAAAGGGAAGACCAUUCCUUCAUAUGUUUUGAAGCUUAUCAGAACACAGAGGCUUAAUUCCACCAUCAGCGGACCCCAAUGCUGUUCAUUGAAUUAUGUUACAUUUCCGUGCUAUUGUUUUGUUGUACAUAGUUACCUACUUAGUUGUUAAGAUUAGUUACAGUAAAGUAGUUUUAGGAAAUUGUUUGUACUUGAUGUAUAUUUUCUAUUUAAUUGAGAAAAAUUACAGAAGCUCCACCAUACGUUUGUUAUAUAUUCUGAGCAUAUUCUGAUCCAUCUAGACCUCACAAAUCUUGUGUAAUGGGUUGUUAUGAUUUUUUCCAAACAUCAUCAUUAAAGAGGCGUUACACAUGGAACUCUCUCCUUUUUGCAGCAAGAAUCA
Molecule: long non-coding RNA, 903 nt
Organism: Spea bombifrons (plains spadefoot toad)
Lineage: Eukaryota; Metazoa; Chordata; Amphibia; Anura; Pelobatidae
Exons: 6
Source: RefSeq, a predicted model, not a curated record